Molecule: ribosomal RNA, 608 nt
Filed under: uncultured bacterium
Lineage: Bacteria
Description: bacterial SSU rRNA
Rfam family: Bacterial small subunit ribosomal RNA
Source: RNAcentral
CAUGCAAGUUGAACGCUGUAGCAAUACGGAGUAGCGCACGGGUGCGUAACACGUGGGAAUAUGCCUUUUGGUACGGAACAACGUUUGGAAACGAACGCUAAUACCGUAUGGUCCCUCCGGGGUAAAGAUUUAUCGCCAAAAGAGUAGCCCGCGUCUGAUUAGCUAGUUGGCGAGGUAAUGGCUCACCAAGGCGACGAUCAGUAGCUGGUCUGAGAGGACGAUCAGCCACACUGGGACUGAGACACGGCCCAGACUCCUACGGGAGGCAGCAGUUAGGAAUCUUGGACAAUGGGCGAAAGCCUGAUCCAGCCAUGCCGCGUGAGUGAUGAAGGCCUUCGGGUUGUAAAGCUCUUUAGCCGAUGAAUAUAAUGACUGUAGUCGGAGAAUAAGCCCCGGCUAACUUCGUGCCAGCAGCCGCGGUAAUACAGAGGGUGCGAGCGUUAAUCGGAUUUACUGGGCGUAAAGCGUGCGUAGGCGGCUUUUUAAGUCGGAUGUGAAAUCCCUGAGCUUAACUUGGGAAUUGCAUUCGAUACUGGGAAGCUAGAGUAUGGGAGAGGAUGGUAGAAUUCCAGGUGUAGCGGUGAAAUGCGUAGAGAUCUGGAGGAAUA